RNAcentral lists this unclassified non-coding RNA (314 nucleotides) under uncultured fungus. Its description in RNAcentral is "partial contains 5.8S ribosomal RNA, internal transcribed spacer 2, and large subunit ribosomal RNA". The stretch from base 1 to 52 matches the Rfam family "5.8S ribosomal RNA", at positions 103 to 154 of the family's 154-position model. The record is from RNAcentral. Lineage: Eukaryota; Fungi.
AACGCACCUUGCGCUCCUUGGUAUUCCGAGGAGCAUGCCUGUUUGAGUGUCAUUAAAUUCUCAACCUAACCAGCUUUUGUGAGCUUGGGAUAGGCUUGGAUUGUGGGGGUUUCUUGCGGGCUUCAUCCAGAGGUCGGCUCCCCUUAAAAGCAUUAGUGGAACCUUCUGUUGACCGUGUCCUGGUGUGAUAAUUAUCUACAUCGUGUGCAGUCAGCUAUCUAACAGGUUUCUGCUUCCAACUCGUAUCACCCUUUACUUGGGGGACGCUUUGACCAUUUGACCUCAAAUCAGGUAGGACUACCCGCUGAACUUAA